UACCUAAUUAAUUUUAUUAAUAGUUAUAUAUUUAUUUUAAAGAUUAAGUUAUAUAUAUUUAAAUUUAAGUAAUUAAAUUAUAAAAUUGUAAAUAGCUUAUUAAAUUAAUUAUAAUUUAUUUAAUAGUACUUUAUUAUAUAGAUAACCGUAGUAAUUCUAGAGUUAAUAUAUAUUAAAAACCCUGACUUUGGAAGGGGUAUAUUUAUUAAAUUAAAAACUAAUACCCUUUGGGGCUAAUUAGUAAUUUAUAAUAACUUUUCGAAUUGUAUAGCCUUAUAUUAGCGAUAGUUUAUUUAAAUUUCUACUUUAUUAAUUUUCGAUGGUUAAAUUUUAAUUAAUUAUAAUAAUAAUGGGUAAUAGAGGAUUAGGGUUUAACCUUGGAGAAGGAGUUUAAGAAAUAGUUAUUAUAUUUAAGGAAAGUAGUAGGCGUGUAAAUUACCUAAUCUUGAUAUAGGGAGGUAGUAAUAAUAAAUAUUAAUAUAAGGCUCUUUUAGGUCUUAUAAUUGGAAUAAGUAUAAUUUAAAUCCUUUAAUAAAGAAUAAUUGGAGGGUAAGUUUAGUGUUAGUAGCCGCGGUAAUUCUAAUUCUAAUAGCGUAUAUUAAAAUUAUUAAAAUUAAAAAGUUCGUAGUUAAACCUUGGGUUCGGUCCGUUGGUCCGCUUUACUAUAUAUAUUAACUAGGUCGGGCCUUUUUUCCUAGAGAACUGUAUACCCUUUACUAAGUAUAUUGGGGAAUUAGGAUUUUUACUAUAAAUAAAUUAAAUUGUUUAAAGAAGGCCUAUAUUCGAAUGUACUAGUAUAGAAUAAUAGAAUAGGACGUAUAAUUCUAUUUUAUUAGUUUCUAAAACUAUUAUAAUAAUUAAUAGGGAUAGUCGGGGGUAUUAAUAUUCAAUUAUUAAAGGUGAAAUUCUUAAAUUUAUUAAAGAUUAACUACUAUAAAAAUAUUUACUAAGGAUGUUUUUAUUAAUUAGGAACGAAAGUUAGAGGAUCGAAGAUAAUUAAAUACUAUUGUAGUCUUAACUAUAAACUAUGCCGAUUAGGGAUCGGAUAGUAUUAUUUUUUAACUUAUUCGGCACCUUAUAAUAAAUUAAAAUGUUUAGGCUCCUAGGGGAGUAUAAUUGUAAGGCUAAAACUUAAAGAAAUUAAUGGAAAGGUACUACUAGGGGUAAAGUUUGCGGCUUAAUUUAAUUUAAUACGGAGAAACUUACUAGGUUUAAAUAUAAUAAGGAUUAAUAAAUUGAAAGCUCUUUCUUAAUUUUGUAAGUAGUAGUAUAUAGCCGUUCUUAGUUAAUAGAGUAAUUUAUUUACUUAAUUACAAUAACAAAUAAGACCUUAACUUAUUAAAUAAUUUGUAUUAUUUUAAUAAUAUACUAGCUUCUUAAAAGGACUAUUAGCUUAAACUAAUAGAAGUUUAAAGUAAUAAUAAAUCUAUAAUGCCCUUAAAUAUUCUAGGCCGUAUAUACGCUAUAUUAAUACAAUUAGCGAAUAUUCCCUUAGCCGGAAGGUCCGGGUAAUCUUAUUAAAUUAUAUUAUACUAGGGAUAGAGUAUUAUAAUUAUUACUCUUCAAUAAGGAAUCCCUAGUAAAUAUAAAUUAUUAAUUUAUAUUAAUUAUAUCCCUACCCUUUAUAUAUACCGUCCGUUGCUAUUACUAAUUAAAUAGCUUAAUAAGACUUCCGGACUAGCCUAGGGAAGUCGGUAACGACUAUUUAAGGCCGGAAAGCUAUCUAAAUUCGGUUAUUUAGAGGAAGUAAAAGUUGUAAUAAAAUCUCUAUUAAUAAACCAGCGGAGGGAUUAUUA
Molecule: ribosomal RNA, 1796 nt
Organism: Neurospora crassa OR74A
Lineage: Eukaryota; Fungi; Ascomycota; Sordariomycetes; Sordariales; Sordariaceae
Rfam family: Eukaryotic small subunit ribosomal RNA
Source: Rfam